Long non-coding RNA from Zea mays, 209 nucleotides. RefSeq lists it as uncharacterized. Lineage: Eukaryota; Viridiplantae; Streptophyta; Magnoliopsida; Poales; Poaceae. The transcript is spliced from 3 exons. The record is from RefSeq and is a predicted model, not a curated record.
AACUUAAGCAAAAAUAAUGUGGCUGGACACAUUCCUGCUGAAUUUGGGAACUUAAGGAGCAUCAUGGAGAUUGAUUUGUCUUACAACCACCUCAGUGGCCUGAUUCCUCAAGAGGUUGGGAUGCUACAAAAUUUGAUACUGUUAAAAUUAGAAAGCAAUAAUAUUACUGGAGAUGUCUCUUCACUUAUUUACUGCUUCAGUCUCAAUAU